Molecule: unclassified non-coding RNA, 3109 nt
Filed under: Lingula anatina
Lineage: Eukaryota; Metazoa; Brachiopoda; Lingulata; Lingulida; Lingulidae
Description: glycosaminoglycan xylosylkinase, transcript variant X5
Source: RNAcentral
AAGAUGGCUGCGCCCACGUAGACGAUUUUUUCUGCAGUGCCGGAGAAUGAAAUAUCAAAUUGUAUAUACACAAGGUAACUAACAGAGGUUCGAUUGUUAUGACAGGGAAGUAGCAGAUGUAAAGGCAUUUGUGCCAGUAUAUGUACAGAUGUGCUGCUGACUCUGGCCAGAUAUAUUCUGAUUAAAGUGUGGGAGAGCACAGCUGUUGUUGUGUGGUCAUAUUAUCAUGUUAUAUCAACAGAGACUUGAACACAAAUAUGGAGUGUUCCCAGGAGAUGUUUCCUUUCUCAGUGAAAGAUAAAGUUGGCUGAUACAAUGUUUGUAAACACUGCAUACACAAGGUCACCUUUUCAAAGCACUGAGACCAGACAUAAAAAUGCCAGUCAAGAUGAAACUGAGAGUAAGGAUUUUCCUUGUGUUGACUGUAGCCUUUCUGUUUGUAGUCUCCUUCAAGAUUUUAGAACCAGAACUCAAGGACCAUGGUCUCCAUAGAGAGACCAGGGAUUUUCAGGACUACUAUGACUUUGCAGAAGAUGGCAGAGUCAGUAAAGACAAAUAUGGAAAAGAGCUUGAUCCAAUACAACAUAUAACAAGUGGCUCAAUAAGACAGAAUUCUCUUGUAGAAAAGCACAGCAAGUCUGAACUGAUUGCAGAACUUAUUAAAAAAUAUAAAGUGAACUUGAAUCAUAAGAUAAAAGGUUCCCCAUGGGAAAUUGCUGCAAGCUGGGUGACGUCAAGGAGAAUACACCCUGAAGAAGCCCCAGAAAUGGGUGCCAUAUUGAAUGCCCUGGCUACCAGACCCAUCAUGGCGGCUGACGUAGGCUUCAAGGGUACCCAGCUCAAAAUGACUCUAGUCUUAGAAGGCAACCAAAAGGCAGUUUUCAAGCCAAAAUGGUAUGACAGAGACUACGUGGUGGUAGGGACACCAUACUCUGGUGCUGACAGACAUAACGGAGAAAUAGCUGCAUUCCACUUGAUAAGGUUACUGGGACUGAAUCGAGCACCUCUGGUGGUGGGACGCACAGUCAACCUGCAGAAAGAAAUCCUGCCAGUUUCAUCCACAAAAUUAAAGAGCACUUUCUUUCAAAGAGAUAACAACACCUGUUUUUAUGGGCAGUGUCUCUAUUGCAAGAGUGAAGAGGACGGGGUGUGCGCUGAUGGCGAAAUGCUAGAGGGCGCUGUGGUCUUGUGGUUGCCAAGGAAGUGGACUUUUUAUAAAAAACACAGAAGUCCUUGGCAGAGGACUUAUAAGGAGGGAAAAGUUGCCAGGUGGGAGUACGACGAUACAUACUGUGAUACUGUGCGGGCUGUGGCACCCUACGACAGCGGACCCCGCCUUCUGGAUCUCCUAGAUGCUGUUGUAGUGGACUACCUCAUUGGGAAUGCGGAUCGCCAUCAUUAUGAGACAUUUGCUAACGCCACUGACAGCAUGAUUAUUAUGCUGGAUAAUGCCAAAAGUUUUGGAAAUUAUUACCAUGAUGAGAAAAGCAUUUUAACUCCAAUAAAGCAAUGUUGUCUACUACGGCGUACGACGUGGGACAGGCUACAACUGCUGAAGGAUGAAGUGUUGAGCAAUGUACUUAGAGGUAUUCUUGAAGCAGAUCCAUUGGCUCCUAUUCUCAUUGAACCACACCUGAAGGCAUUGGACAGAAGAUUAGAGCACAUUUUACAGGAGCUGCACUUGUGUGUUGAACAGAAAUCUGAGCAAAAGGUUUUUGUGUGAUAUUAGAUGAGAAAAGAAGCUACCUAGAGAAUGUUAUCCUUGUCUGAUGCUUUCUAACAGUCUGGUUGCAGUGGCUUGGUAAAAAGUGCAGAGCGUGAUACAUCUAGUCAUCACUGAGUUACCCAUUACAAAAAUGAGAGGCCGAAAAAAGAUCCUGAAAGUAAUCAACACAUAGGUAUGAGCUUGUUAUGUCGAAUUUAAUUUAUUUUGAAAAAUGGUAUGACCAUAAUAUCAUGAUAUAGAUCACUUGCACAGUCACACUUUAUAGAUAAAUGAUCAGCCUUUUCCUGCCAUUAUUUAUUCACAUUUUUUAUGUGAUGUGAUGGCAUUUAAUUAUAUUAGGCAGCUAUUUUUAAGUGCAAGAUUUUUUAAAGUCUUUAAUAUAUUAUUUACUUUUCAAUAAAUCUUUCAAACACACAUACAUAAUAAUGUGUGAUUUAAAAAAAACAAAAACAGGUGCAUCAGAACUAUAUUUUUGUUAUGGAACUUCAAACUUGAUAUUCAGAGUUCAGCUUUUAAUGGUUAGUCUGUAGUGAAGGUGGAUCACAUACUUUGUUUUGUCACUUACUAACCCCUCCCCCCAAACACAAGCAUGCACGCAUGCAUGCGCAUACUCUCUCUCUCUCUCUCUCUCUCUCUCUCUCUCUCUCUCUCUCUCUCUCUCACACACACACACAUUACAUUAAUCUACAGCACCCUAGGAUCAUUAGAAGAUGACAGCAUAGGGAUGUCAGCGUAGACUAAAGAUGGCAGUUUGGCAUCAAACUUAUCCUCCAGUAUCUCAAAAAGAAAAUUUGUAACAAAAAACUGUGUGAUCUGAUAGCAUUAGAAAACUGAUGUACUUAUUUCAUCAUGUAAUUUGAUUAUAACAUACCUUGUUUAGUCUGAUUUCAAAAAUGAAAUAUGAAAGCAAAGGAGUGAACAGUGGCAUCUUAAAGCAUAUCCAGAACAGCAGACUAACAGAUCUGCAGAUCAAAUAUGUCCGACCCAUAUCUGUGGGGAUUUCGCUACAAGCAUACAAGCAUUCAAGUGGGUCGGCCAUAUUUGCUUCACAGAUCUGCAAGUCUGCUGUUGUGAAUGUGGCAUUAUAGCUCAAGGUGGAGUUGCAAUAGACUUGGUCACACAGCAAUAUUGUAUUUUAUUUUGAAAAAAAGUGUAUUUAUACUUAAAGAGCUACAAGUGCUAUACUUUAAAGCUGGUCUCGGCAUUAUAUGUAUAUUGAGGUUUUCAUUGUGGCCAAAUGUUAAUAGGAAAUAUUUCAAUGAAAAAAAUAAUAAAAUUUUCUUUAGAUUUUUAAAUGUUAGAUUUAGAUUUGCCAGUGACAAGGGCGGUUGAUAUUUAAAUAUUUAUAAACCAAAUAAGGGGAAAGCUUGAUGUUAAUGUUAG